Molecule: long non-coding RNA, 1616 nt
Organism: Ailuropoda melanoleuca (giant panda)
Lineage: Eukaryota; Metazoa; Chordata; Mammalia; Carnivora; Ursidae
Exons: 3
Source: RefSeq, a predicted model, not a curated record
GAGAGCCGGGAGACGCAGUGGUGAGCAGGGGCAGGCUGUGGCCUUUAAGUCCAGUGCCCAGAUCUCACCACUGAAAUCCAGAGCCACAUUUCCAACAGCUUCCCACGGCUGCAGCCACAUGUCCCGCAGACAUACCAAUGAGCGAACGCAAGCUCUUGAGUUUCUGCCCCAAACUUGCCCCUGCCCAGUCUCUCCCAGAUCCACAGACCCACGUCCACUCUCCAGACACCCAGGCUUGGAGCUCAGAAGCCCCUCUGGCUCCUCCUCCACUUGUCCCUCACAUUCAGCCCCCAGGCAAGUCCUGUUAGCAGAUUCUCACCACUCUUACCACCUCCCGCUACAGCCCUUGACCAAGCCAUCAACUUCCAUCUGGGUCAUCAUACAGUCAUUCUCACUCGUGUGCACCCCUGCCUCCCUCAGGGCUUUCACCCAGCAGUGACCAUGCCCCUUCUCAGACAUGAGUCAGACCACAUCACUCGGCUCACUCUGACAAGAGGCCUUACGAGGCUCUGCAACCACAUCCUCUCAGCCUGGCUCCUCCAUCCUCAUCACCUACUGCUCUCCUCUUGCUCCCUUGGCUCCAGCUGCUCCUUACCAAAUCCACUCCCACCUCAGGGCCCCUGCACUAAUUACUUCCCUCCCCCAGCUGUGCUCACUGCCUCGUUUCCUCCUCGUCUCCAUCCAAGUGUCUCCCCUUUGAGAGGCCUUCACCUCCCCUCUUCUCCAUAGCUCUGAAUUUUUUCAUAGCUCUUCUUGUCCCCAGCAUAUAUUUGUUUGUUCACUGCCUGGGAAUUCCAGAAAGCCAAGACCACUUUCAGGUUUGUUCAAGGCACUGGGGAUGCAGCAGUGGAGAGCGGACAACCCGGAGACAGCCCCUGAAAUGCUGGCAUGAACACCGACAGAGCUCUUGUGACCACCAGAGGUUUCCAUAUACUCAGAGCCGCCUCUGAGGGUGAGACUGUUAGGCCGGUUCAGGAGCAGGUGAAAGCCCAGAGCCCAAGUCGUGGCGGCACAAUGGAGAGUCACCAGAGCUGGAGUCCUCCCCACGGACAGCAGCGAGAUUACACACCAGGGAUCCAUCUUACCUUCCUUGUCCACGCGGAAACCAAACUCAUCGUAGCAGAACUCUGGUUGUUCCACUGACUCUUCCUUCUAGAACCAGGAUUAGGAAGAGUCAGUUGUAUGGCCACCAGUCUGGGACCACAGAUUCUAGAAGAUGUCACCCACACUCCUGCCUGCUGAAAUUGAAAUGCCGGCCUUCAAGACUCAGAUCAAAGGCCACACCUUCCUUGAAGCCUCUGUGGUCAUCACUCAGCUACAGGGGCCACCACCUUCUCAAACUGGCCUAGCAUUUUCCUUGUUCUCCUCAGAGGUCAAAGAUAGUAAGAUCAAGGCCAACUGACUCCCCAAGACUAAACUGCAUCUUGUUUCCCUCUGCAUCCCUGGCACUCAGAAGUCUCUCAAUAAGCAUUUGUUAGAUAAAUUAGACAAAUGAAUGAACAUCAGCAAAUGAAAAAAAAAAGUAAAUAAAAGUCAUAUUUCACACCACUGUAAUAACUAACUGGUGUUUUAUUUACCCCAUAUUCUCCCUUCUUCUGGGUGUCUGGAAAACAGCA